CGAAGCAACGCGAAGAACCUUACCAGGUCUGACAUCCGAUGCUAUUCUAGAGAUAGAAGUUACUUCGGUACAUCGGUGACAGGUGGUGCAUGGUUGUCGUCAGCUCGUGUCGUGAGAUGUUGGGUUAAGUCCCGCAACGAGCGCAACCCCUAUUGUUAGUUGCCAUCAUUCAGUUGGGCACUCUAGCGAGACUGCCGGUAAUAAACCGGAGGAAGGUGGGAUGACGUCAAAUCAUCAUGCCCCUUAUGACCUGGGCUACACACGUGCUACAAUGGUUGGUACAACGAGUUGCGAGUCGGUGACGGCGAGCUAAUCUCUUAAAGCCAAUCUCAGUUCGGAUUGUAGGCUGCAACUCGCCUACAUGAAGUCGGAAUCGCUAGUAAUCGCGGAUCAGCACGCCGCGGUGAAUACGUUCCCGGGCCUU
Molecule: ribosomal RNA, 424 nt
Filed under: uncultured Streptococcus sp.
Lineage: Bacteria; Bacillati; Bacillota; Bacilli; Lactobacillales; Streptococcaceae
Description: bacterial SSU rRNA
Rfam family: Bacterial small subunit ribosomal RNA
Source: RNAcentral